This 438-nucleotide ribosomal RNA is filed under the name Syncapritermes greeni. Its description in RNAcentral is "partial 12S ribosomal RNA". The record is from RNAcentral. Lineage: Eukaryota; Metazoa; Arthropoda; Insecta; Blattodea; Termitidae.
UAAACUAGGAUUAGAUACCCUAUUAUUUUAGGAUGUUAAUUGUUUUGCUUGACUAGUAUUAGUUAUUUUCUUGAAACUUAAAGAAUUUGGCGGUAUCUCAUUCCGUCCAGAGGAAUCUGUCCCGUUAUCGAUAGUCCGCGUUGGACCUUACUUGGAUUGCUUUGGUUUGUAUACCGCCGUUUAUUGAUUAUCUUUUUAGAGUUUAUUUAAUUUUCUUGUUUCUUUAUUUUGGUUUAUUUCAGGUCAAGGUGCAGCUUGUUUCUAAGUGGAUUGAUGGAUUACAUUGUUAUUUGUUUGUGGAUUGUUGAUUUUAAUAUUGAUAUGAAAUUGGAUUUGGUUGUAAUAAUUUGUAGAUUGUUAUUGUGAUAAAUGGUUCUGGGAUAUGCACACAUCGCCCGUCGCUCUCGUUUAUUUAAUGAGAUAAGUCGUAACAUAGUA